Molecule: ribosomal RNA, 376 nt
Filed under: uncultured Chytriomycetaceae
Lineage: Eukaryota; Fungi; Chytridiomycota; Chytridiomycetes; Chytridiales; Chytriomycetaceae
Description: SSU rRNA
Rfam family: Eukaryotic small subunit ribosomal RNA
Source: RNAcentral
AGCUCCAAUAGCGUAUAUUAAAGUUGUUGCAGUUAAAUAGCUCGUAGUUGAAUUUUGGGCCGGGUUCCUGGUCGACCUUUGGUCGUUACUGGGGAUCUGGCCUUUCCUUCUGGGAAACGCGUGUGUUCUUUACUGAAUGUGCGCGGGAUCCAGGACUUUUACUUUGAAAAAAUUAGAGUGUUUAAAGCGGGCAUUUGCUUGAAUACAUUAGCAUGGAAUAAUAGAAUAGGACUUUGGUUCUAUUUUGUUGGUUUCUAGGACCGAAGUAAUGAUUAAUAGGGAUAGUUGGGGGCAUUAGUAUUUAACAGUCAGAGGUGAAAUUCUUGGAUUUGUGAAAGACUAACUUCUGCGAAAGCAUUUGCCAAGGAUGUUUUCA